Molecule: long non-coding RNA, 70 nt
Filed under: dengue virus type 2
Lineage: Riboviria; Orthornavirae; Kitrinoviricota; Flasuviricetes; Amarillovirales; Flaviviridae
Description: Dengue virus 2 partial sfRNA1
Source: RNAcentral
UAAAAGUCAGGUCGGAUUAAGCCACAGUACGGAAAAAACUGUGCUACCUGUGAGCCCCGUCCAAGGACGU